RNAcentral lists this ribosomal RNA (830 nucleotides) under uncultured organism. RNAcentral's name for it is "bacterial SSU rRNA". It matches the Rfam family "Bacterial small subunit ribosomal RNA", at positions 504 to 1328 of the family's 1533-position model. The record is from RNAcentral.
CGUGCCAGCAGCCGCGGUAAUACGUAGGGGGCUAGCGUUGUUCGGAAUCACUGGGCGUAAAGGGAGUGUAGGCGGGAAGGUAAGUUAGGAGUUAAAUUCACAGGCUUAACCUGUGGCCUGCUCUUAAUACUGCCUUUCUUGAGUAUGGGAGAGGGUGAUGGAAUUCCAGGUGUAGCGGUGGAAUGCGUAGAUAUCUGGAAGAACACCAGUUGCGAAGGCGGUCACCUGGCCCAAUACUGACGCUGAGGCUCGAAAGCUAGGGGAGCGAACAGGAUUAGAUACCCUGGUAGUCCUAGCCGUAAACGAUGGAUACUAGUUGCUGGAGGAGUCAAUCCUUUCAGUGACGAAGUUAACGCAUCAAGUAUCCCGCCUGGGGAGUACGCUCGCAAGGGUGAAACUCAAAGGAAUUGACGGGGGCCCGCACAAGCGGUGGGGCAUGUGCUUUAAUUCGAUGCAACGCGAAGAACCUUACCUGGGUUUGACAUGGGAGUGAAAGGAUCCAGAGAUGGAACCCCUUCCGCAAGGAACACUUCACACAGGUGCUGCGUGGUUGUCGUCAGCUCGUGUCGUGAGAUGUUGGGUUAAGUCCCGCAACGAGCGCAACCCCUGCCCUUAGUUGCCAUCAGGUAAAGCUGGGAACUCUAAGGGGACCGCCUGUCGUAAACAGGAGGAAGGUGGGGAUGACGUCAAAUCAUCAUGGCCCUUACGCCCAGGGCUAGACACGUGCUACAAUGGUCGGUACAAUGGGAUGCGAACCUGCGAGGGCAAGCUAAUCCCAGAAAACCGGCCUCAGUCCGGAUUGGAGUCUGCAACUCGACUCCAUGAAGUUG